This 467-nucleotide ribosomal RNA is filed under the name uncultured bacterium. RNAcentral describes it as "partial 16S ribosomal RNA". It matches the Rfam family "Bacterial small subunit ribosomal RNA", at positions 28 to 507 of the family's 1533-position model. The record is from RNAcentral.
GACGAACGCUGGCGGCGUGCUUAACACAUGCAAGUCGAACGGAAAGGCCCUGCUUUUGUGGGGUGCUCGAGUGGCGAACGGGUGAGUAACACGUGAGUAACCUGCCCUUGACUUUGGGAUAACUUCAGGAAACUGGGGCUAAUACCGGAUAGGAGCUCCUGCUGCAUGGUGGGGGUUGGAAAGUUUCGGCGGUUGGGGAUGGACUCGCGGCUUAGGAGCUUGUUGGUGGGGUAGUGGCUUACCAAGGCUUUGACGGGUAGCCGGCCUGGGAGGGUGACCGGCCCCAUGGGGCUGGGGGAGGGGCCAGGGGGCAAUGGGGGGCAAGGGGGGGGAAAAUGGGCCAACGGGGCGGAGUCUGAAGGGAGGACCGCCGGGUUGGGAUGACGGCCUUCGGGUUGUAAACCGCUUUCGCCUGUGACGAAGCGUGAGUGACGGUAAUGGGUAAAGAAGCACCGGCUAACUACGUG